AGCGAACGCUGGCGGCGUGCUUAACACAUGCAAGUCGAACGAUGAAGCUAGAGCUUGCUCUGGUGAAUUAGUGGCGAACGGGUGAGUAACACGUGAGUAACCUGCCCCGAACUCUGGGAUAACUGCUGGAAACGGUAGCUAAUACUGGAUACGACCUACGAAGGCAUCUUCUGUAGGUGGAAAGAAUUUCGGUUCGGGAUGGACUCGCGGCCUAUCAGCUAGUUGGUGAGGUAACGGCUCACCAAGGCGACGACGGGUAGCCGGCCUGAGAGGGUGACCGGCCACACUGGGACUGAGACACGGCCCAGACUCCUACGGGAGGCAGCAGUGGGGAAUAUUGCACAAUGGGCGCAAGCCUGAUGCAGCAACGCCGCGUGAGGGACGAAGGCCUUCGGGUUGUAAACCUCUUUUAGCAGGGAAGAAGCGAAAGUGACGGUACCUGCAGAAAAAGCACCGGCUAACUACGUGCCAGCCGCCGCGGUAA
RNAcentral lists this ribosomal RNA (484 nucleotides) under uncultured bacterium. Its description in RNAcentral is "partial 16S ribosomal RNA". It matches the Rfam family "Bacterial small subunit ribosomal RNA", at positions 29 to 523 of the family's 1533-position model. The record is from RNAcentral.